Heterocephalus glaber (naked mole-rat) is the source of this 45-nucleotide non-coding RNA. Lineage: Eukaryota; Metazoa; Chordata; Mammalia; Rodentia; Bathyergidae. The record is from Rfam.
CAAAAGGCUUUUUUAAAAGCCAGAUUUAUAUAAUAAUUACAAUGU